RNAcentral lists this ribosomal RNA (301 nucleotides) under uncultured bacterium. Its description in RNAcentral is "partial 16S ribosomal RNA". It matches the Rfam family "Bacterial small subunit ribosomal RNA", at positions 509 to 807 of the family's 1533-position model. The record is from RNAcentral.
CAGUAGCCGCGGUAAUACGUAGGUGGCAAGCGUUGUCCGGAAUUAUUGGGCGUAAAGGGCUCGCAGGCGGUUUCUUAAGUCUGAUGUGAAAGCCCCCGGCUCAACCGGGGAGGGUCAUUGGAAACUGGGAAACUUGAGUGCAGAAGAGGAGAGUGGAAUUCCACGUGUAGCGGUGAAAUGCGUAGAGAUGUGGAGGAACACCAUUGGCGAAGGCAACUCUCUGGUCUGUAACUGACGCUGAGGAGCGAAAGCGUGGGGAGCGAACAGGAUUAGAUACCCCAGUAGUCCCUGUCUCUUAUAC